UACGUAGGUCCCGAGCGUUAUCCGGAAUUAUUGGGCGUAAAGAGCAUGUAGGCGGUUUGUUAAGUUUGGUGUGAAAGCUAGUGGCUCAACCACUAAAUUGCAUUGAAAACUGACAAACUAGAAUACUGGAGGGGCAAGUGGAAUUCCAUGUGUAGCGGUGGAAUGCGUAGAUAUAUGGAGGAACACCAAUGGCGAAGGCAGCUUGCUGGACAGAGAUUGACGCUGAGAUGCGAAAGUGUGGGUAGCAAACAGG
RNAcentral lists this ribosomal RNA (253 nucleotides) under uncultured bacterium. RNAcentral describes it as "partial 16S ribosomal RNA". It matches the Rfam family "Bacterial small subunit ribosomal RNA", at positions 524 to 776 of the family's 1533-position model. The record is from RNAcentral.